Molecule: ribosomal RNA, 464 nt
Filed under: Salmonella enterica subsp. enterica serovar Enteritidis
Lineage: Bacteria; Pseudomonadati; Pseudomonadota; Gammaproteobacteria; Enterobacterales; Enterobacteriaceae
Description: partial 23S ribosomal RNA
Rfam family: Bacterial large subunit ribosomal RNA
Source: RNAcentral
ACCGGCGAUACCCGAAUGGGGAAACCCAGUGUGAUUCGUCACACUAUCAUUAACUGAAUCCAUAGGUUAAUGAGGCGAACCGGGGGAACUGAAACAUCUAAGUACCCCGAGGAAAAGAAAUCAACCGAGAUUCCCCCAGUAGCGGCGAGCGAACGGGGAGGAGCCCAGAGCCUGAAUCAGCAUGUGUGUUAGUGGAAGCGUCUGGAAAGGCGCGCGAUACAGGGUGACAGCCCCGUACACAAAAGCGCAUGUGCUGUGAGCUCGAUGAGUAGGGCGGGACACGUGGUAUCCUGUCUGAAUAUGGGGGGACCAUCCUCCAAGGCUAAAUACUCCUGACUGACCGAUAGUGAACCAGUACCGUGAGGGAAAGGCGAAAAGAACCCCGGCGAGGGGAGUGAAAAAGAACCUGAAACCGUGUACGUACAAGCAGUGGGAGCACAGGUUUACCUGUGUGACUGCGUACC